GAGUUUGAUCAUGGCUCAGGGUGAACGCUGGCGGCGUGCUUGACACAUGCAAGUCGAACGGUAUGUGGCAACACAUAGAGUGGCGAACGGGUGAGUAACACGUGGGAACGUAUCUUUUGCAGGGGGAUAACUGACCGAAAGGACAGCUAAUACCGCAUAAGUCCGGGAGGAGAAAGGUGCAACAGCAUCGGCAGAAGAGCGGCCCGCGGUCCAUCAGCUAGUUGGUGAGGUAAGGGCUUACCAAGGCGACGACGGAUAGCCGGCGUGAGAGCGUGGCCGGCCACAAGGACACUGAGAUACGGGUCCUACUCCUACGGGAGGCAGCAGUGCGGAAUUUUAGAUAAUGGAGGGAACUCUGAUCUAGCGACGCCGCGUGCAGGAAGAAGGUCUUCGGAUUGUAAACUGCUGUGGUAAGGGAAAAAUGCUAUGUAGAGUGGAAAGCUACAUAGAGGGAUGGUACCUUACUAGAAAGCCCCGGCUAACUACGUGCCAGCAGCCGCGGUAAUACGUAGGGGGCGAGCGUUACCCGGAAUCACUGGGCGUAAAGGGAGCGUAGGUGGCCUAACAUGUCAACUGUGAAAACCCGGAGCUCAACUCCGGACUUGCAGUUGAAACU
This 616-nucleotide ribosomal RNA is filed under the name uncultured Kosmotoga sp. RNAcentral describes it as "bacterial SSU rRNA". It matches the Rfam family "Bacterial small subunit ribosomal RNA", at positions 9 to 634 of the family's 1533-position model. Lineage: Bacteria; Thermotogati; Thermotogota; Thermotogae; Kosmotogales; Kosmotogaceae. The record is from RNAcentral.